Molecule: ribosomal RNA, 800 nt
Filed under: uncultured bacterium
Lineage: Bacteria
Description: bacterial SSU rRNA
Rfam family: Bacterial small subunit ribosomal RNA
Source: RNAcentral
GAUGCUGACGAGUGGCGAACGGGUGAGUAAUACAUCGGAACGUGCCCAAUCGUGGGGGAUAGCUCGGCGAAAGCCGGAUUAAUACCGCAUACGAUCUACGGAUGAAAGCAGGGGAUCGCAAGACCUUGCGCGACUGGAGCGGCCGAUGGCAGAUUAGGUAGUUGGUGGGGUAAAGGCUCACCAAGCCGACGAUCUGUAGCUGGUCUGAGAGGACGACCAGCCACACUGGGACUGAGACACGGCCCAGACUCCUACGGGAGGCAGCAGUGGGGAAUUUUGGACAAUGGGCGCAAGCCUGAUCCAGCAAUGCCGCGUGCAGGAUGAAGGCCUUCGGGUUGUAAACUGCUUUUGUACGGAACGAAAAGGCUCUGGCUAAUACCCGGGGCUCAUGACGGUACCGUAAGAAUAAGCACCGGCUAACUACGUGCCAGCAGCCGCGGUAAUACGUAGGGUGCGAGCGUUAAUCGGAAUUACUGGGCGUAAAGCGUGCGCAGGCGGUGAUGUAAGACAGUUGUGAAAUCCCCGGGCUCAACCUGGGAACUGCAUCUGUGACUGCAUCGCUGGAGUGCGGCAGAGGGGGAUGGAAUUCCGCGUGUAGCAGUGAAAUGCGUAGAUAUGCGGAGGAACACCGAUGGCGAAGGCAAUCCCCUGGGCCUGCACUGACGCUCAUGCACGAAAGCGUGGGGAGCAAACAGGAUUAGAUACCCUGGUAGUCCACGCCCUAAACGAUGUCAACUGGUUGUUGGGAAUUUGCUUUCUCAGUAACGAAGCUAACGCGUGAAGUUGACCGCCUGGGGAGU